GGGAGCUGGAGCUGCAUCAAGGAAUCUAUUGUUUGUGCAGUCGGGUACAUGAUAUCAAUCAAUCGCUGGUGCGUUCUGAUCUCAAAAUGGAACCUUGAAUCUUUGUGCACGUGAGGAGAAUUGAGCACACAAUAUACUCUUCGCUUGGUUGGCAGAGGAACUGGACCCAUCGUCUUUGCAUUUGUUGUUUUUGCAGCUUCAAUGAUCUUCUUACAGGAGUCCUCGAUCAAUGGUACCCAGUAAGACCUCAGCUUAAUUCUGAUCUUCUGCUUGGGUGCCA
Molecule: unclassified non-coding RNA, 280 nt
Filed under: Hevea brasiliensis (rubber tree)
Lineage: Eukaryota; Viridiplantae; Streptophyta; Magnoliopsida; Malpighiales; Euphorbiaceae
Source: RNAcentral